This 497-nucleotide ribosomal RNA is filed under the name uncultured bacterium. RNAcentral's name for it is "partial 16S ribosomal RNA". It matches the Rfam family "Bacterial small subunit ribosomal RNA", at positions 28 to 507 of the family's 1533-position model. The record is from RNAcentral.
GAUGAACGCUGGCGGCGUGCCUAAUACAUGCGAGUCGAGCGAACAGACGAGGAGCUUGCUUCUCUGACGUUAGCGGCGGACGGGUGAGUAACACGUGGAUAACCUACCUAUAAGACUGGGAUAACUUCGGGAAACCGGAGCUAAUACCGGAUAAUAUAUUGAACCGCAUGGUUCAAUAGUGAAAGACGGUCUUGCUGUCACUUAUAGAUGGAUCCGCGCCGCAUUAGCUAGUUGGUAAGGUAACGGCUUACCAAGGCAACGAUGCGUAGCCGACCUGAGAGGGUGAUCGGCCACACUGGAACUGAGACACGGUCCAGACUCCUACGGGAGGCAGCAGUAGGGAAUCUUCCGCAAUGGGCGAAAGCCUGACGGAGCAACGCCGCGUGAGUGAUGAAGGUCUUCGGAUCGUAAAACUCUGUUAUUAGGGAAGAACAAAUGUGUAAGUAACUGUGCACGUCUUGACGGUACCUAAUCAGAAAGCCACGGCUAACUACGUG